RNAcentral lists this ribosomal RNA (645 nucleotides) under Staphylococcus aureus. Its description in RNAcentral is "partial 23S ribosomal RNA". It matches the Rfam family "Bacterial large subunit ribosomal RNA", at positions 251 to 895 of the family's 2925-position model. Lineage: Bacteria; Bacillati; Bacillota; Bacilli; Caryophanales; Staphylococcaceae. The record is from RNAcentral.
GAGCGAAACGGGAAGAGCCCAAACCAACAAGCUUGCUUGUUGGGGUUGUAGGACACUCUAUACGGAGUUACAAAGGACGACAUUAGACGAAUCAUCUGGAAAGAUGAAUCAAAGAAGGUAAUAAUCCUGUAGUCGAAAAUGUUGUCUCUCUUGAGUGGAUCCUGAGUACGACGGAGCACGUGAAAUUCCGUCGGAAUCUGGGAGGACCAUCUCCUAAGGCUAAAUACUCUCUAGUGACCGAUAGUGAACCAGUACCGUGAGGGAAAGGUGAAAAGCACCCCGGAAGGGGAGUGAAAUAGAACCUGAAACCGUGUGCUUACAAGUAGUCAGAGCCCGUUAAUGGGUGAUGGCGUGCCUUUUGUAGAAUGAACCGGCGAGUUACGAUUUGAUGCAAGGUUAAGCAGUAAAUGUGGAGCCGUAGCGAAAGCGAGUCUGAAUAGGGCGUUUAGUAUUUGGUCGUAGACCCGAAACCAGGUGAUCUACCCUUGGUCAGGUUGAAGUUCAGGUAACACUGAAUGGAGGACCGAACCGACUUACGUUGAAAAGUGAGCGGAUGAACUGAGGGUAGCGGAGAAAUUCCAAUCGAACCUGGAGAUAGCUGGUUCUCUCCGAAAUAGCUUUAGGGCUAGCCUCAAGUGAUGAUUA